ACUGCUAUCGGAUUGAUACUAAGCCAUGCGAGUCUUUGUAGUAAUACAAGGCAUACGGCUCAGUAACACGUAGUCAACCUACCCUAUGGACGAGAAUAAUCUCGGGAAACUGAGCAUAAUUCUUGAUAGAUCAUAAUGCCUGGAAUGGUUUAUGAUUAAAAUGAUUCGUCGCCAUAGGAUGGGACUGCGGCCUAUCAGCUUGUUGGUGAGGUAAUGGCCCACCAAGGCGAUUACAGGUACGGGCUCUGAGAGGAGAAGCCCGGAGAUGGGUACUGAGACACGGACCCAGGCCCUAUGGGGCGCAGCAGGCGAGAAAACUUUGCAAUGUGCGAAAGCACGACAAGGUUAAUCCGAGUGUUUUCUGCUAAAGAAAUCUUUUGCUAGUCGUAAAACCACUGGUGAAUAAGGGGUGGGCAAGUUCUGGUGUCAGCCGCCGCGGUAAAACCAGCACCUCAAGUGGUCAGGAUGAUUAUUGGGCCUAAAGCAUCCGUAGCCGGCUUUGUUAGUUUUCGGUUAAAUCCAUGUGCUCAACGCAUGGGCUGCCGAAAAUACUGCAUAGCUAGGGAGUGGGAGAGGUAGACGGUACUCAGUAGGAAGGGGUAAAAUCCUUUGAUCUAUUGAUGACCACCUGUGGCGAAGGCGGUCUACCAGAACACGUUCGACGGUGAGGGAUGAAAGCUGGGGGAGCAAACCGGAUUAGAUACCCGGGUAGUCCCAGCUGUAAACGAUGCAGACUCGAUGAUGCAUUGGCAUAAUAGCCAGUGCAGUGUCGCAGGGAAGCCGUUAAGUCUGCCGCCUGGGAAGUACGUACGCAAGUAUGAAACUUAAAGGAAUUGGCGGGGGAGCACCACAAGGGGUGAAGCCUGCGGUUCAAU
Molecule: ribosomal RNA, 875 nt
Filed under: uncultured marine group I thaumarchaeote
Lineage: Archaea; Thermoproteati; Nitrososphaerota
Description: SSU rRNA
Rfam family: Archaeal small subunit ribosomal RNA
Source: RNAcentral